UAAUUAAAAGGUUUAUUGAUUAGCUGC
This 27-nucleotide non-coding RNA is filed under the name Mus musculus (house mouse). Lineage: Eukaryota; Metazoa; Chordata; Mammalia; Rodentia; Muridae. The record is from RNAcentral.